UGGGGAAUAUUGCACAAUGGGCGAAAGCCUGAUGCAGCGACGCCGCGUGAGGGAUGACGGCCUUCGGGUUGUAAACCUCUUUCAGCGGGGACGAAGGGCAACUGACGGUACCCGCAGAAGAAGCACCGGCUAACUACGUGCCAGCAGCCGCGGUAAUACGUAGGGUGCGAGCGUUGUCCGGAAUUAUUGGGCGUAAAGAGCUCGUAGGCGGUUUGUUGCGUCGGCUGUGAAAACUUCACGCUUAACGUGGAGCCUGCAGUCGAUACGGGCAGACUUGAGUUCGGCAGGGGAGACUGGAAUUCCUGGUGUAGCGGUGAAAUGCGCAGAUAUCAGGAGGAACACCGGUGGCGAAGGCGGGUCUCUGGGCCGAUACUGACGCUGAGGAGCGAAAGCGUGGGGAGCGAACAGG
Molecule: ribosomal RNA, 409 nt
Filed under: uncultured bacterium
Lineage: Bacteria
Description: bacterial SSU rRNA
Rfam family: Bacterial small subunit ribosomal RNA
Source: RNAcentral